AGAGUUUGAUCCUGGCUCAGGAUGAACGCUGGCGGCGUGCUUAACACAUGCAAGUCGAACGAACCUUCGGGUUAGUGGCGGACGGGUGAGUAACGCGUGAGAAUCUGCCCUCAGGAGGGGGAUAACGGUUGGAAACGACCGCUAAUACCCCAUAUGCCGAUAGGUGAAAUGAAUUUCGCCUGAGGAUGAGCUCGCGUCUGAUUAGCUAGUUGGUGAGGUAAUGGCUCACCAAGGCUUCGAUCAGUAGCUGGUCUGAGAGGAUGAUCAGCCACACUGGGACUGAGACACGGCCCAGACUCCUACGGGAGGCAGCAGUGGGGAAUUUUCCGCAAUGGGCGAAAGCCUGACGGAGCAACGCCGCGUGAGGGACGAAGGCCUCUGGGCUGUAAACCUCUUUUCUCAAGGAAGAAGAUAUGACGGUACUUGAGGAAUAAGCCACGGCUAAUUCCGUGCCAGCAGCCGCGGUAAUACGGGAGUGGCAAGCGUUAUCCGGAAUUAUUGGGCGUAAAGCGUCCGCAGGCGGCCUUUCAAGUCUGCUGUUAAAGCGUGGAGCUUAACUCCAUCAUGGCAGUGGAAACUGAUAGGCUUGAGUAUGGUAGGGGCAGAGGGAAUUCCCGGUGUAGCGGUGAAAUGCGUAGAUAUCGGGAAGAACACCAGUGGCGAAGGCGCUCUGCUGGGCCAUUACUGACGCUCAUGGACGAAAGCCAGGGGAGCGAAAGGGAUUAGAUACCCCUGUAGUCCUGGCCGUAAACGAUGAACACUAGGUGUCGGGGGAAUCGACCCCUUCGGUGUCGUAGCUAACGCGUUAAGUGUUCCGCCUGGGGAGUACGCACGCAAGUGUGAAACUCAAAGGAAUUGACGGGGGCCCGCACAAGCGGUGGAGUAUGUGGUUUAAUUCGAUGCAACGCGAAGAACCUUACCAGGGUUUGACAUCCUGCGAACCUCUUAGAAAUUUGAGGGUGCCUUCGGGAAUGCAGUGACAGGUGGUGCAUGGCUGUCGUCAGCUCGUGUCGUGAGAUGUUGGGUUAAGUCCCGCAACGAGCGCAACCCACGUUUUUAGUUGCCAGCAUUUAGUUGGGCACUCUAGAAAGACCGCCGGUGAUAAACCGGAGGAAGGUGUGGAUGACGUCAAGUCAUCAUGCCCCUUACACCCUGGGCUACACACGUACUACAAUGCUACGGACAAAGGGCAGCAAACUCGCGAGAGCUAGCAAAUCCCAUAAACCGUGGCUCAGUUCAGAUCGUAGGCUGCAACUCGCCUACGUGAAGUAGGAAUCGCUAGUAAUCGCAGGUCAGCAUACUGCGGUGAAUACGUUCCCGGGCCUUGUACACACCGCCCGUCACACCAUGGAAGUUGGCCAUGCCCGAAGUCGUUACUCCAACCCUUGUGGAGGAGGACGCCGAAGGUGGGGCUAAUGACUGGGGUGAAGUCGUAACAAGGUAGCCGUACCGGAAGGUGCGGCUG
This 1465-nucleotide ribosomal RNA is filed under the name Prochlorococcus sp. AG-670-O19. RNAcentral's name for it is "bacterial SSU rRNA". It matches the Rfam family "Bacterial small subunit ribosomal RNA". Lineage: Bacteria; Bacillati; Cyanobacteriota; Cyanophyceae; Synechococcales; Prochlorococcaceae. The record is from RNAcentral.